UCUUAGCGGGCCAAGGACUGGAAAUGAACACUGGCGGGGUUAUCAGUGCUGAUCUGUCAGCAGCGAGUCGCGCACUGCUUGUCCCAGGCAGCAGCAGUGAUAUACGUCUUAUUCCUUUGGGCUCACAAAAGGGAUUUCUUUCGACAAGCUGGACACUGGAAGAAGACUGCGGAGGGGAAUUGAAUAGGAGAAACACUCUUGUGGGAGUGGAUUUUUACACGAACACCCCAGUCCCUGUGGCUUCAGCGUGGUGGCUGCCUUUCUGAAAGGCUGAAAGUAGAAAACUCUGGAAUGGAAAGGCUAGCAGCUGGAACAGGAUUUGAAGACUUUAAAUGUUAACCCGAGUUCGAUCGAAAGUUACUACCACAAGAGACUGCCACCGGCCGGCCCAAUUCCCACCGCGGCUUCCAGUGGCUUGCUUUGGGUUGUCCGGUAAGUUCCAACCAAAUUUUUAAGCGGGUUGGGUUCUGCGAAGUUCAUUUGUAAGCAAUUCAUUAAAGCUUCGGACAUCGCUUUUUCAUUUGAGUCCAAUUUUCCGAAAUAAUGUCUCCAGUUUGCUCAUAAAAGCAAUUUUUACAGUUCGAAUUUGCUAAUAAAAUAAUAAAUGACUUGGCUAACUAAAUUUGGCGUCCUGGCUGUGAACGACCUUCAAGGUUGAGGGAGAUCGAGCUCUCGCGCGAGACUAGUUCUAGUCCUGUGGGUGUUUUUGGCUUUGUUUUGUUUUGUUUGUUCGAGGGGUUAUCCUGCGUAAAUUUCCUGGAACAAUAGCAAACCCCUACUGCUCUGCUUUCCCGAAGCUAGGCAUGGAAGACUAGAAAACACACUGACCCUGGCGCUUCUGGGACAGAGGUGAGGAGUUCGACCCAUAUGAACAGAUUCGACAACAUUCGGACUCUGGCGGCUGGGGAAGAAACCCAUAAUUUUACCCUUCUCAUUCCCAAUCAUUUUAGUAGUGCCUCCAACCACAAGAAAAAACGAUAGAUCAUUGUUUUUCCUUUCAGGGCUCAAAAUUCACCUUUAGUUUUUUUUUUUAAGGCUGGCUUUCCGGAAGAGGACUAGGUUAGAGAAAUAUUUUUUUUCCAUUUCAGUUAAUGUAAAAAUAAAACCUGUCCGGUUGACUAAGACAAAAACUAGACUCCUGCAGACUCUAAUUUGUUUUUUUAUUCCCCCCCCCCACUCACAAACUGGCGACGACACCCCAGUCCAGUAAGCAAAGGCACAUUUCAAAGCCCUCCCCCACCGGCCUCAGCCUGGACUCUGCAGGGAAAUUGAAGCCAGCAGAAUCCUGGGUGCCGAGGGGAAGGGAAAGGUGGCACACCAACCUAGGGGAGCCCCAAAAUGGAGAUGGUCCCCAUCGUGCCCCAGAUAGCUCCUGGAAGUUUCUUUCUUAGUGUUUUUCUUUUGUUUUGUUUCCUUCUUUUCAACUCCUUUUCUCUUGUCUCCUCUUGCAUUCCCCAAGCUGGCUUUGCUAGUCUUGACCGGAAUCGUUUUGCUCAGAACCAUUUAGACCCAAGAAGCAGGCCCUCCAAACAGAAUCUUCUUCCAACGCCCGAAAGAAGGUUGACUCCGGGGCGCGGCCUGUCCCCUAUGCUCUUUUAUUCGGUCCGAACCAAACCACCACUCGCCUUUCAAAUCUAGCCGGAACACAGCAGCCAAUAGGGCAGGGGGCGGGGGCUCUGUAGCUAAAAGGGAAGGGGUGUUUGGGGACUCGAUGGCGCGCGGCUUCCUGGGGGCACCACAAACCUGAGCCUGGAUGUGUGUCGCUAUAGACCUUUGGCCUUGCAAACUCAAGCUCCUUACCUGUCACUUCACAAAGCUUCUACCUGCUCCAACGUCGAUUCAAAAGUGGGGCAAGGGGUGUUGAUACAUACACAUACAAUUUCUGUGUUAAACAUGGUUUGAACUUCAGAUUUAAAAAUAUUACGCUAAAGCUAUAAUUCACUGGUGAAUUGCUUAAUGUUCAAGGAUGUGGGUUCGAUUCCCACUCACUAC
RNAcentral lists this long non-coding RNA (1992 nucleotides) under Mus pahari (shrew mouse). RNAcentral describes it as "lncRNA (MGP_PahariEiJ_G0004702.1)". Lineage: Eukaryota; Metazoa; Chordata; Mammalia; Rodentia; Muridae. The record is from RNAcentral.